GGGCGAGUAGCUCAGCUUGGAAGAGCGUCUGGUUUGCAACCAGAAGGCCGCGGGUUCAAAUCCCGUCUCGUCCA
This 74-nucleotide transfer RNA is filed under the name Methanobacteriota archaeon. Its description in RNAcentral is "Euryarchaeota archaeon tRNA-Ala". It matches the Rfam family "tRNA". From Rfam's summary of the family: Transfer RNA (tRNA) molecules are approximately 80 nucleotides in length. Their secondary structure includes four short double-helical elements and three loops (D, anti-codon, and T loops). Lineage: Archaea; Methanobacteriati; Methanobacteriota. The record is from RNAcentral. RNAcentral also lists the same sequence under 1 other name.